Molecule: ribosomal RNA, 287 nt
Filed under: uncultured bacterium
Lineage: Bacteria
Description: partial 16S ribosomal RNA
Rfam family: Bacterial small subunit ribosomal RNA
Source: RNAcentral
GUGGAUUAGAUACCCUGGUAGUCCACGCUGUAAACGAUGAAUGCUAGGUGUGGGGGUGCAAACUUCCGUGCCGCAGUUAACACAAUAAGCAUUCCACCUGGGGAGUACGGCCGCAAGGUUGAAACUCAAAGGAAUUGACGGGAGCCCGCACAAGCAGUGGAGUAUGUGGUUUAAUUCGACGCAACGCGAAGAACCUUACCGGGGUUUGACAUCCCAGGAAUCCGGCGUAACGGUUGGAGUGCCCUUCGGGGAACCUGGUGACAGGUGGUGCACGGCCGUCGUCAGCU